RNAcentral lists this ribosomal RNA (465 nucleotides) under uncultured Klebsiella sp. RNAcentral's name for it is "bacterial SSU rRNA". It matches the Rfam family "Bacterial small subunit ribosomal RNA", at positions 338 to 795 of the family's 1533-position model. The record is from RNAcentral. Lineage: Bacteria; Pseudomonadati; Pseudomonadota; Gammaproteobacteria; Enterobacterales; Enterobacteriaceae.
CCUACGGGAGGCUGCAGUGGGGAAUAUUGCACAAUGGGCGCAAGCCUGAUGCAGCCAUGCCGCGUGUGUGAAGAAGGCCUUCGGGCUGUAAAGCACUUUCAGCGGGGAGGAAGGCGGUGAGGUUAAUAACCUCAUCGAUUGACGUUACCCGCAGAAGAAGCACCGGCUAACUCCGUGCCAGCAGCCGCGGUAAUACGGAGGGUGCAAGCGUUAAUCGGAAUUACUGGGCGUAAAGCGCACGCAGGCGGUCUGUCAAGUCGGAUGUGAAAUCCCCGGGCUCAACCUGGGAACUGCAUUCGAAACUGGCAGGCUAGAGUCUUGUAGAGGGGGGUAGAAUUCCAGGUGUAGCGGUGAAAUGCGUAGAGAUCUGGAGGAAUACCGGUGGCGAAGGCGGCCCCCUGGACAAAGACUGACGCUCAGGUGCGAAAGCGUGGGGAGCAAACAGGAUUAGAUACCCGGGUAGUC